GGGCCGAUAGUUCAGAUGGGAGAACGCUACAUUCGCAUUGUAGAGGUCGAGGGUUCGAAUCCCUCUCGGUACA
This 73-nucleotide transfer RNA is filed under the name Candidatus Omnitrophota bacterium. Its description in RNAcentral is "tRNA-Ala". It matches the Rfam family "tRNA". From Rfam's summary of the family: Transfer RNA (tRNA) molecules are approximately 80 nucleotides in length. Their secondary structure includes four short double-helical elements and three loops (D, anti-codon, and T loops). The record is from RNAcentral. Lineage: Bacteria; Pseudomonadati; Candidatus Omnitrophota.